UACGUAGGGGGCAAGCGUUGUCCGGAUUUAUUGGGCGUAAAGAGCGUGUAGGCGGUUUGGUAGGUGCGUUGUGAAAACUCGAGGCUCAACCUCGAGACGCCGGCGCAAACCAUCAGACUAGAGUCCGGAAGAGGAGAGUGGAAUUCCUGGUGUAGCGGUGAAAUGCGCAGAUAUCAGGAAGAACACCCGUGGCUAAGGCGGCUCUCUAGUACGGUACUGACGCUGAGACGCGAAAGCGUGGGGAG
This 245-nucleotide ribosomal RNA is filed under the name uncultured Actinoplanes sp. RNAcentral's name for it is "partial 16S ribosomal RNA". It matches the Rfam family "Bacterial small subunit ribosomal RNA", at positions 524 to 768 of the family's 1533-position model. The record is from RNAcentral. Lineage: Bacteria; Bacillati; Actinomycetota; Actinomycetes; Micromonosporales; Micromonosporaceae.